Molecule: long non-coding RNA, 651 nt
Organism: Pyrgilauda ruficollis (rufous-necked snowfinch)
Lineage: Eukaryota; Metazoa; Chordata; Aves; Passeriformes; Passeridae
Exons: 2
Source: RefSeq, a predicted model, not a curated record
CCCAAGCACCUCAGCAAGCUCUCCUGCAGAGCUGCCUCCCUGCCUUCUCCACAUUGCUGCUGCUUGAAUAGCAGCUCUCACCAGCAGCUUUCCUGCCACCCUUGGAGAGAACUCUUCCAGCUACCAAACAUUUUGUCCAAGUCCAUGCACACUUCUACACAUUUGCUUCAAGUAGAGAGAAUCCUUCUAAGAACACACUGUAUUCUUCAGGAUGCAGACAGCAGCGAGAGCCGGCAGGGAGCGGCACAAAGGGCCUUUGAGGAGCACCUCUUCCCCGGGGAGCCACACCACUGCUGGGCACACCUGACCAGACACAGCCCUACCCUGUGGCUACCGCGGGGCGUGGAUGGCCAGCGACCUUGCCUGCUUCCAGGAGGAAAGGCAGAGCCAUCCCGGCUGCUGCAGGCUGCCGGAGCUGCACACAGCAGCCACAGGUGUGUGUGUGCUGUGGGGUGUCCAUCACUUCAGAGCACCAGGCACCAAAGCACACGUUUGAUCACAAACUGACAAAAGGCAGCUUUUUGACGCCUGACAGCCCUGAAAAUUUAUUCGUGAUGUCACUUAUGAACUGAGCACGGAAGUUCCACCUAUCUGUUUGUGUAAUUUUGUUUCUAUGUAACAAAUUUAGCAUUAAAAACAUUUUUAAAAGCC